ACGUAGGGUGCAAGCGUUAAUCGGAAUUACUGGGCGUAAAGCGUGCGCAGGCGGUUCUGCAAGUCUGAUGUGAAAGCCCCGGGCUUAACCUGGGAACGGCAUUGGAGACUGCAGAGCUAGAGUACGUCAGAGGGGGGUAGAAUUCCACGUGUAGCAGUGAAAUGCGUAGAGAUGUGGAGGAAUACCGAUGGCGAAGGCAGCCCCCUGGGAUGAUACUGACGCUCAUGCACGAAAGCGUGGGGAGCAAACAG
This 251-nucleotide ribosomal RNA is filed under the name uncultured prokaryote. RNAcentral describes it as "partial 16S rRNA". It matches the Rfam family "Bacterial small subunit ribosomal RNA", at positions 525 to 775 of the family's 1533-position model. The record is from RNAcentral.